RNAcentral lists this ribosomal RNA (759 nucleotides) under Bacillus toyonensis. RNAcentral's name for it is "bacterial SSU rRNA". It matches the Rfam family "Bacterial small subunit ribosomal RNA", at positions 26 to 761 of the family's 1533-position model. The record is from RNAcentral. Lineage: Bacteria; Bacillati; Bacillota; Bacilli; Caryophanales; Bacillaceae.
GGGGGAAAGCGACCUGCAAUACAUGCAGUCGAGCGAAUGGAUUAAGAGCUUGCUCUUAUGAAGUUAGCCGCGGACGGGUGAGUAACACGUGGGUAACCUGCCCAUAAGACUGGGAUAACUCCGGGAAACCGGGGCUAAUACCGGAUAACAUUUUGAACCGCAUGGUUCGAAAUUGAAAGGCGGCUUCGGCUGUCACUUAUGGAUGGACCCGCGUCGCAUUAGCUAGUUGGUGAGGUAACGGCUCACCAAGGCAACGAUGCGUAGCCGACCUGAGAGGGUGAUCGGCCACACUGGGACUGAGACACGGCCCAGACUCCUACGGGAGGCAGCAGUAGGGAAUCUUCCGCAAUGGACGAAAGUCUGACGGAGCAACGCCGCGUGAGUGAUGAAGGCUUUCGGGUCGUAAAACUCUGUUGUUAGGGAAGAACAAGUGCUAGUUGAAUAAGCUGGCACCUUGACGGUACCUAACCAGAAAGCCACGGCUAACUACGUGCCAGCAGCCGCGGUAAUACGUAGGUGGCAAGCGUUAUCCGGAAUUAUUGGGGCGUAAAGCGCGCGCAGGUGGUUUUCUUUAAGUCUGAUGUGAAAAGCCCCGGCUCAACCGUGGAGGGUCUUGGAAACUGGGGAGACUUGAGUGCAAAAAGAGGGAAGAGGGAAUUCCAUGUUGUAACGGGGAAAAUGCGUAGAGAUAUGGGAGGAACACCCGUGGCCAAAGGCGACUUUUCUGGGUCUGUAACCUGACCCUGGGGCGCGAAAGAC